GAACGCUGGCGGCGUGCUAAUACAUGCAGUCGAACGAGAGCGACGGUGCUUGCACUGGUCAAUCUAGUGGCGAACGGGUGAGUAACACGUGGGUAACCUGCCCAUCAGAGGGGGAUAACAUUCGGAAACGGAUGCUAAAACCGCAUAGGUCUUCGAACCGCAUGGUUUGAAGAGGAAAGGAGGCGCAAGCUUCUGCUGAUGGAUGGACCCGCGGUGCAUUAGCUAGUUGGUGAGGUAACGGCUCACCAAGGCAGUGAUGCAUAGCCGACCUGAGAGGGUGAUCGGCCACAUUGGGACUGAGACACGGCCCAAACUCCUACGGGAGGCAGCAGUAGGGAAUCUUCCGCAAUGGACGCAAGUCUGACGGAGCAACGCCGCGUGAGUGAAGAAGGUUUUCGGAUCGUAAAACUCUGUUGUUAGAGAAGAACAAGUGCUAGAGUAACUGUUAGCGCCUUGACGGUAUCUAACCAGAAAGCCACGGCUAACUACGUGCCAGCAGCCGCGGUAAUACGUAGGUGGCAAGCGUUGUCCGGAUUUAUUGGGCGUAAAGCGAGCGCAGGCGGUUCCUUAAGUCUGAUGUGAAAGCCCCCGGCUCAACCGGGGAGGGUCAUUGGAAACUGGGGAACUCGGGUGCAGAAGAGGAGAGUGGAAUUCCAUGUGUAGCGGUGAAACGCGUAGAUAUAUGGAGGAACACCAGUGGCGAAGGCGACUCUCUGGUCUGUAACUGACGCUGAGGCUCGAAAGCGUGGGUAGCAAACAGGAUUAGAUACCCUGGUAGUCCACGCCGUAAACGAUGAGUGCUAAGUGUUGGAGGGUUUCCGCCCUUCAGUGCUGCAGUUAACGCAUUAAGCACUC
Molecule: ribosomal RNA, 855 nt
Filed under: uncultured Granulicatella sp.
Lineage: Bacteria; Bacillati; Bacillota; Bacilli; Lactobacillales; Carnobacteriaceae
Description: bacterial SSU rRNA
Rfam family: Bacterial small subunit ribosomal RNA
Source: RNAcentral